CCCCCCCCUCCCCCUUCAUUUCUUCUAUUUUCUUUUUUUUUUAUUAUUUUAUUUUAUUUAUUUAUUUUUUUUACAGGUCCAACAACAGACACUAACAAUACAAGUCUAUUUAAAACUAUUAAAACUUUUAGAGAAAUAAAUCUGAAAAUUUAAAUUUUGUAGGAAUAUAUUUGAUAUUCGAUAUAUUUAUAUAAAACUAUAUAAAAUUAUCCCUAUAAAUAAAUGCACAAUACAUAGAUAUACAAAAACAUGAUUUGCAUGUACGCAUUAAUUAAUAUCUUUACAAUAACAAUGAUUGAUCAUUUCUCCUUUUCUUUAUAGGAAGCUUCUCUAUGACACAUGCUCCUUUGUAUAAAGCUUCUUUAGAAAAGUAUAUGCUCUUUAACGAAAGCUACUUAAUUAUAACAGC
RNAcentral lists this long non-coding RNA (409 nucleotides) under Ananas comosus (pineapple). Its description in RNAcentral is "long non-coding RNA (ACOM_LNC034363)". Lineage: Eukaryota; Viridiplantae; Streptophyta; Magnoliopsida; Poales; Bromeliaceae. The record is from RNAcentral.